Long non-coding RNA from Trachemys scripta elegans, 501 nucleotides. RefSeq lists it as uncharacterized. The record is from RefSeq and is a predicted model, not a curated record. The transcript is spliced from 9 exons. Lineage: Eukaryota; Metazoa; Chordata; Testudines; Emydidae.
AGUGUGCAAUCCAUUCCCCACAGGCACACUCUCAAAUCCCAUUUUAAUCCCUUCGUUUUAUUAACACUGGAGCCCCCGCAUCUGGCACUGAGGGAUGGAGAACCUUCCGGACUGGGGUCCAGUUUAAUUCUCUGAAAAAGAUCAGACCCUGUGACUCUUCUCACAAGAGCUACCAGAGGCUUGGAGCUACUGGAACAGCUCUCCAGCUGCUUGUUCUGUACUCCUAGCAACAAUUCCUUUUUCAGAAACCUCUGAGGAGAAAGGUGAAAGCCUUGAGAAGAGCACUGAAAAAAUGGUUGAGGCCUACUUAGUCCUACAAAACAAGAUUCUCAUAGGCACAGUUGUUGUCCUCAUUGUUAUCAUCGUUAUCAUCUUAAGUUGUCGUUGUUCAAGAAAAAGAAGGCGAGAUCCUGAAGAAGGUCAACUCAUCAGUACAGAAGAAGAUGAGCGUGAAGUAGAACUGAUGCCAGGAUGCGGAUUUUGUUGCUGGCAGAAUCAGGG